Molecule: ribosomal RNA, 688 nt
Filed under: Cyperus conglomeratus
Lineage: Eukaryota; Viridiplantae; Streptophyta; Magnoliopsida; Poales; Cyperaceae
Description: eukaryotic LSU rRNA
Rfam family: 5.8S ribosomal RNA (bases 237-391)
Source: RNAcentral
UAGGGGGUGUUCAACUGGGUUUCAGUAGGUGAACCUGCGGAAGGAUCUUGUCGUUGCCUCGAAACACGACCGCGAACAUGUAACGCUCAGCUGCCGGGGGGGCCUCCCCCCCGGACCCACCGGCCCCGGCCCCCCGGCCGGGUGCCGGAACACGGCGCGGACUGUCGCCAAGGAACACACGAUCUGCCCCAGGCACGCCGCGCUCCGCGGCGCUACCGAGGCCAAAGAAACAGUAUGACUCUCGGCAACGGAUAUCUCGGCUCUCGCAUCGAUCAAGAACGUAGCGAAAUGCGAUACGUGGUGUGAAUUGCAUAAUCCCGUGAACCAUCGAGUCUUUGAACGCAAGUUGCGCCCGAGGGACCAUCCCGAGGGCACGCCUGCCUGGGCGUUAUAAGCCCAUCAACGCCCGGUCACCCCCGUACGCGGCGCGGCGGGGGACCCGACCGGAUGCGGACACUGGCCCUCCGAGCCGCACAGGCACGGUGGGCCGAAGUGCGAGGCCGUCGACCGCGUCGGGAGCGGCAAGUGGUGGGCUACAGCGCAUGCCGAUCCCGACCCGCGUGGACACCGGGCCCUUCAUACCCCGUAACGAGCAUACCGUCGCAUAAGCGUCCGCGCGGCGCGACGCAAUCUGCCCGAUACCCCAGGUCAGGCGGGGCCACCCGCUGAGUUUAGCUAUCUAAACGGG